Molecule: ribosomal RNA, 469 nt
Filed under: uncultured bacterium
Lineage: Bacteria
Description: partial 16S ribosomal RNA
Rfam family: Bacterial small subunit ribosomal RNA
Source: RNAcentral
GACGAACGCUGGCGGCGUGCUUAACACAUGCAAGUCGAACGGUGAAGCGAGUGCUUGCACUCGUGGAUCAGUGGCGAACGGGUGAGUAACACGUGAGUAACCUGCCCAUCACUCUGGGAUAAGCACUGGAAACGGUGUCUAAUACUGGAUACGACCAACCCCUGCAUGGGGUGUUGGUGGAAAGAUUUAUCGGUGAUGGAUGGACUCGCGGCCUAUCAGCUUGUUGGCGGGGUAAUGGCCCACCAAGGCGACGACGGGUAGCCGGCCUGAGAGGGUGACCGGCCACACUGGGACUGAGACACGGCCCAGACUCCUACGGGAGGCAGCAGUGGGGAAGAUUGCACAAUGGGCGAAAGCCUGAUGCAGCGACGCCGCGUGGGGGAUGACGGCCUUCGGGUUGUAAACCUCUUUCAGCAGGGAAGAAGCGAAAGUGACGGUACCUGCAGAAGAAGCACCGGCUAACUACGUG